UGCCGGCGACCGGCGGACGGGUGCGUAACGCGUAUGUAACCUACCUUUGACAGGGGGAUAACAUCGAGAAAUUGGUACUAAUACCCCAUAACAUCACCGGAGGCAUCUUCGGUGGUUGAAAACUCAGGUGGUCAGAGAUGGACAUGCGUUGUAUUAGCUAGUUGGUGAGGUAACAGCUCACCAAGGCGACGAUACAUAGGGGGACUGAGAGGUCAACCCCCCACAUUGGUACUGAGACACGGACCAAACUCCUACGGGAGGCAGCAG
RNAcentral lists this ribosomal RNA (267 nucleotides) under uncultured bacterium. RNAcentral's name for it is "partial 16S ribosomal RNA". It matches the Rfam family "Bacterial small subunit ribosomal RNA", at positions 86 to 354 of the family's 1533-position model. The record is from RNAcentral.